GGCGUUGGCAGUGGAGUAACAAAGACGCUGCCGCGCCGUUGACCCCGAAGAAGCUCUGAUGAAAAGGAGGGCGGGCCGCGGGAUAGGAGUUUCUACAAUUAGUUUUUUCUGCCUUUACGUUCCCAAGAAGAAGCCGAGGAAGUAGAAAGGAGAGAGAUCUGGGAAAGGCAGGCUUCCUCACCCCCUGCCCCCUUCGAUUCCUAGGAGGGGCGGCCCCAGCCCUCGGAGCCGAUUCUCGGCGCUGCGCUAGGACAUCAGAGGCGAUACAGGUUCGAUGUUAAAUGAACCUUCAGGCCGCCGGACAAUGGCGCAGACCUCACACGGGGGCACCGCGCCUUCCCCCAGCCGUGCUCGGCGUGGAAUCCUCCGCGUCUCCUACAGCCGCCGAACCAAUGGGCAGACCGGGGAGAGCGGGACGCGCAGGAGAGGGUUUGAAAGGAGGUGGGAAAUUAUUACAUCACUAGAAAAUAAUGCCAGAGCGGGGGUCUGCCGCCCUUUUGAAGUCCUGCUGCAACGAAACAUGAUUUUAAUUACAUAAUCACUUUGAAACUAUAAUUAUACAAUAAACGAUGAGGAUUAAGCGGGAAGUAUAGAGUACAUUAAAAAUUGCUUAGGUCUUGAAAAAACAAACUGAACAUGCAGGGGGAAAAGAAAGAGAUGAAAUCCGAGG
This 670-nucleotide long non-coding RNA is filed under the name Homo sapiens (human). Its description in RNAcentral is "HSALNT0089548". Lineage: Eukaryota; Metazoa; Chordata; Mammalia; Primates; Hominidae. The record is from RNAcentral.